GCUCAGGUGGUUAAUGCAAAUUGGCACAGCUACUAGGCUUAGACCCUAGACCCUUGUGGGUUCGACUCCCACCCUGAGUACCA
RNAcentral lists this transfer RNA (83 nucleotides) under Aureispira sp. RNAcentral's name for it is "tRNA-OTHER". It matches the Rfam family "tRNA". Rfam says of the family: Transfer RNA (tRNA) molecules are approximately 80 nucleotides in length. The record is from RNAcentral. RNAcentral also lists the same sequence under 1 other name. Lineage: Bacteria; Pseudomonadati; Bacteroidota; Saprospiria; Saprospirales; Saprospiraceae.